UGUUCUUUUGUUAGGAGGCCUCUUUUGUUGUCUUUAUGUACAGCAAAAUACUUGUUUCUCUUUUUACUUUCGUGGAGAGAGAAGGAAAAAAAAUGUAUUGCACAUGGUUUGAGUUGGCAAACGCUGGGUUCGGUGACGGUUUCUGUCUUGGAGGAAGGCGGCCGUGCUGGUGCCGGUGCCGGCUGCAGUGCCGAGCCCGGCGGAGCGGGAGGGGCUGGCAGGGCCCCUUCUCCCCCCCCCCCAACACGAGCUGCUGUCACCCGCAGCCUCCCGGGCAGCGGAAGCUCCUCCCGCAGCAAAGCAGCCCCGGCUCGCACACAGCGCACUUCCGGGGCCAUGAGUUCGGUCGCCCCCAGUUAGCGAUGCCAGGGCCCCUCACAGAGGAGCUGCCCGCUCCCCAGAAAGCAACCCGGCACCACCCGCGCGUCCCUUCACACGGUCAGUGGGUCACAGCACCCCGAACUCCAGGGUAAACACUUGAGUUAUCUCUCAACUUUCAUGUUAAAAAACAAACCAAACCAAACCAGAAACACACCGGGCAGGCAAGCAAGCAGAGCUCGGCAGAGACCCCGCGCCUGCCCCGGGGCGAGCUCACACGCAGGUGGGCGGCGGGGCGGGGAUCUCGUACUUGCCCUGGUGGGUUUUGGGGGGAGGCUGGGCCUUGGAGUAAAUGCCCCCGCCGGCGCCGGCGAUGACGCUGGCGGGCUUCCUGCGGCUGCUCCGCCUCAGCCGGCGGCUGCACACGCUCUGCCAGGACUGCAGGGUCUUGGAGGUCCAGACCCACAUGCCGCUGGUGAUGCCCACGACCAGCAGCAUGGACACCUUCACCAGGAAGAUCUCCACGGCCGGGAUGGAGGCCGCCAUGGCGCAGUCCAGGUCCUUGGUCUGGUUGUUCACCCUGCACUUGUGCUGCGUGGCCAGGGUCUUCCAGUAGUCCACGUUCAGGCGCUCGUAGAAGUAGCAGGCGAUGACGCAGGUAGCAGGCCAGCGGCACCAGCACGAAGCCCGUGAGGGCGUUCACGUCCAUGCUGCCCACGUAGCACACGCCGGUCAGCUCGUCGCCCGCCACCCGGCGCAUCACCAGCACCACGAUGGUCUUCACGGCCGGGAUGGCCCAGGCGGCCAGGUGGAAGUAGCUGCUGUUGGCCUCGAUGGCCUCGUGGCCCCACUUCUUGCCCGCGGCCAGGAACCAGGUGAGCGUGAGGACCACCCACCAGAGCGAGCUGGCCAUGCCGAAGUAGUAGAGCACCAGGAAGACCAGGGUGCAGCCCGUGCUCUCCAGCCCCUCCUGGAUCACGUAGCGCUGGCCGCUGUCCCGGUCGCACGCGAUGCUCUCGGCGCCCGCGAAGAGGCGGAUGAUGUAGCCCACGGAGUAGACGCAGUAGCACAUGGAGAGGAAGAUGAUGGGGCGCUCGGGGUACCGGAAGCGCGCCGGGUCGAUGAGGAAGGUGAGCACGGUGAAGGCGCUGGACAGGAAGCACAGCUGGGAUCACUCCGCCAGUCAGAUCACGGUGACGCGAUUGUCGGCCUUGCUCCAGCUCAUGCCCCCUUCCAGGAUGUACAUUAGCGCGCACCUCGCGCUCUAGCCCACGAAGGUG
Oryctolagus cuniculus (rabbit) is the source of this 1598-nucleotide long non-coding RNA. The record is from Ensembl. Lineage: Eukaryota; Metazoa; Chordata; Mammalia; Lagomorpha; Leporidae.